CGAACCGUCCAAACGUUAUUCGGAAUCACUGGGCUUAAAGGGUACGUAGGCGGCGCUGUCAGUCGGGUGUGAAAUCCCACGGCUCAACCGUGGAAUUGCGCCCGAUACUGCAGUGCUUGAGGGAGACAGAGGUAAGCGGAACUGAUGGUGGAGCGGUGAAAUGCGUUGAUAUCAUCAGGAACACCGGUGGCGAAAGCGGCUUACUGGGUCUCUUCUGACGCUGAGGUACGAAAGCUAGGGGGAGCGAAGGGGAUUAGAUACCCCGUAGUCCUAGCUGUAAACGUUGAGCACUUGAUCGAGGGCCCCCCCAUAGGCUCCCGGUCGUAGCGAAAGUGUUAAGUGCUCCGCCUGGGGAGUAUGGUCGCAAGGCUG
This 372-nucleotide ribosomal RNA is filed under the name uncultured organism. Its description in RNAcentral is "bacterial SSU rRNA". It matches the Rfam family "Bacterial small subunit ribosomal RNA", at positions 526 to 896 of the family's 1533-position model. The record is from RNAcentral.